GCGGAUAUAGUUGAAUGGUAAAAUUUCUCUUUGCCAAGGAGAG
RNAcentral lists this transfer RNA (43 nucleotides) under Salix bebbiana. Its description in RNAcentral is "partial transfer RNA-Gly". Lineage: Eukaryota; Viridiplantae; Streptophyta; Magnoliopsida; Malpighiales; Salicaceae. RNAcentral also lists the same sequence under 33 other names. The record is from RNAcentral.